Molecule: ribosomal RNA, 253 nt
Filed under: uncultured bacterium
Lineage: Bacteria
Description: partial 16S ribosomal RNA
Rfam family: Bacterial small subunit ribosomal RNA
Source: RNAcentral
UACGUAGGUGGCAAGCGUUGUCCGGAAUUAUUGGGCGUAAAGCGCGCGUAGGCGGUCAGGCAAGUCGGGUGUGAAAGCCCUGGGCUCAACCUGGGAAUUGCAUUCGAAACUAUCUGACUCGAGUAUGGGAGAGGGAAGCGGAAUUUCCGGUGUAGCGGUGAAAUGCGUAGAUAUCGGAAGGAACACCAGUGGCGAAGGCGGCUUCCUGGACUAAUACUGACGCUGAGGUGCGAAAGCGUGGGGAGCAAACAGG